This 394-nucleotide ribosomal RNA is filed under the name Mesovelia thermalis. Its description in RNAcentral is "partial 16S large subunit ribosomal RNA". Lineage: Eukaryota; Metazoa; Arthropoda; Insecta; Hemiptera; Mesoveliidae. The record is from RNAcentral.
GUUCUAUAGAAUUAUAAUUUUAGAUUUGUCCUGCUCUAUGAUUUUUAAAUGGCUGCGGUAUUUUAACUGUACUAAGGUAGCAUAAUAAUUUGUCUUUUAAUUGAAGGCUAGAAUGAAUGGUUUGAUGAGAGACUGACUUUUUUUAAUUAAUAAUUUGAAUUUGAUUUUUAAAUCAAAAAGUUUAAAUUUUUAUAUAGGACGAGAAGACCCUAUAGAAUUUUAUUAAAUUUAUUUAAUUAUAAUUUUGUUUAUUUAUUUUUAAUUUUUUUAAAUUUAAUUUUGUUGGGGUGAUAUAAAAAUUAAUUUGACUUUUUAUUUAUUUUACAUAAAUUAAUGUUUUUUGAUCCUAAAUUUUAGAUUAUAAGAUUAAAUUACCUUAGGGAUAACAGCGUAA